RNAcentral lists this ribosomal RNA (254 nucleotides) under uncultured bacterium. Its description in RNAcentral is "partial 16S ribosomal RNA". It matches the Rfam family "Bacterial small subunit ribosomal RNA", at positions 524 to 776 of the family's 1533-position model. The record is from RNAcentral.
UACGAAGGGUGCAAACGUUGCUCGGAAUCAUUGGGCGUAAAGCGCACGUAGGCGGCCCUGUAAGUCGGAUGUGAAAUCCCUCGGCUCAACCGAGGACGUGCAUCCGAAACUGCAGAGCUCGAGUAUGGAAGAGGGUCGCGGAAUUCCCGGUGUAGAGGUGAAAAUUCGUAGAUAUCGGGAGGAACACCAGUGGCGAAGGCGGCGACCUGGGCCAAUACUGACGCUGAGGUGCGAAAGCGUGGGGAGCAAACAGG